This 774-nucleotide ribosomal RNA is filed under the name Salmonella enterica subsp. enterica serovar Paratyphi B var. L(+) tartrate +. RNAcentral's name for it is "partial 23S ribosomal RNA". It matches the Rfam family "Bacterial large subunit ribosomal RNA", at positions 418 to 1191 of the family's 2925-position model. Lineage: Bacteria; Pseudomonadati; Pseudomonadota; Gammaproteobacteria; Enterobacterales; Enterobacteriaceae. The record is from RNAcentral.
CGGGACACGUGGUAUCCUGUCUGAAUAUGGGGGGACCAUCCUCCAAGGCUAAAUACUCCUGACUGACCGAUAGUGAACCAGUACCGUGAGGGAAAGGCGAAAAGAACCCCGGCGAGGGGAGUGAAAAAGAACCUGAAACCGUGUACGUACAAGCAGUGGGAGCACAGGUUUACCUGUGUGACUGCGUACCUUUUGUAUAAUGGGUCAGCGACUUAUAUUCUGUAGCAAGGUUAACCGUAUAGGGGAGCCGGAGGGAAACCGAGUCUUAAUUGGGCGUUAAGUUGCAGGGUAUAGACCCGAAACCCGGUGAUCUAGCCAUGGGCAGGUUGAAGGUUGGGUAACACUAACUGGAGGACCGAACCGACUAAUGUUGAAAAAUUAGCGGAUGACCUGUGGCUGGGGGUGAAAGGCCAAUCAAACCGGGAGAUAGCUGGUUCUCCCCGAAAGCUAUUUAGGUAGCGCCUCGUGAAUUCAUCUCCGGGGGUAGAGCACUGUUUCGGCUAGGGGGCCAUCCCGGCUUACCAACCCGAUGCAAACUGCGAAUACCGGAGAAUGUUAUCACGGGAGACACACGGCGGGUGCUAACGUCCGUCGUGAAGAGGGAAACAACCCAGACCGCCAGCUAAGGUCCCAAAGUCAUGGUUAAGUGGGAAACGAUGUGGGAAGGCCCAGACAGCCAGGAUGUUGGCUUAGAAGCAGCCAUCAUUUAAAGAAAGCGUAAUAGCUCACUGGUCGAGUCGGCCUGCGCGGAAGAUGUAACGGGGCUAAACCAUG